UUGCAUUGUUCUUUUGGAAAUUCAGUGUUUAGGCACUGACUUAACUUGAUUCCACUCGAUCUCGUUUUUGUUAGGUUGAUGAAUCUUUAAGUAAAUGAUAUACUGUUGAACUGAAAAGGAUAUACUGUUGAACCUGAAAUAUGACAUUUCAGCUGGACAAGACCUACUUUUUCACUAGUUAAGGUUCACCAAGAGCCUUCCAUGGAAAUUCAUCUUCAAUUUGGAAUAGUGGUAUCAUAUGUAUAUAUGUAAAUACUUCUCAUCCUUGGGUUCUUUUACCUUUACCUUUUGCUUCAUUGGAUCCUAUUACUUUUUUGUUUUAG
This 323-nucleotide long non-coding RNA is filed under the name Salvia miltiorrhiza (redroot sage). Its description in RNAcentral is "long non-coding RNA (SMIL_LNC002733)". Lineage: Eukaryota; Viridiplantae; Streptophyta; Magnoliopsida; Lamiales; Lamiaceae. The record is from RNAcentral.